AUACGGAGGGAGCAAGCGUUAUUCGGAAUCACUGGGCGUAAAGGACGCGUAGGCGGGUUUGUAAGUCAGGUGUGAAAUCCUACAGCUCAACUGUAGAACUGCACUUGAAACUACAGACCUAGAGUAUGGAAGGGGCAGGUGGAAUUAGUGGUGUAGGGGUAAAAUCCGUAGAUAUCACUAGGAAUACCGAAAGCGAAGGCGACCUGCUGGGACAUUACUGACGCUGAGGCGUGAAAGCGUGGGGAGCAAACAGGAUUAGAUACCCCGGUAGUCC
Molecule: ribosomal RNA, 274 nt
Filed under: uncultured bacterium
Lineage: Bacteria
Description: partial 16S ribosomal RNA
Rfam family: Bacterial small subunit ribosomal RNA
Source: RNAcentral